Molecule: long non-coding RNA, 1345 nt
Organism: Megalobrama amblycephala (Wuchang bream)
Lineage: Eukaryota; Metazoa; Chordata; Actinopteri; Cypriniformes; Xenocyprididae
Exons: 3
Source: RefSeq, a predicted model, not a curated record
GUCAGGCACAAAUUCGUAUAAUAAUAAAUUAUAUAUAAAUUAAUAUAUUAGUUUUAGUGUUCGAAUCUCCAAUAAGGAAGAAAAAAAGAGAUUUGAAUUCGGUUUUUGAACCGUCAGGUCCCCCCAAGAGAAAGUCUCAUAAAAAAAAAAGAAAAGAAAAGAAAAAUAACAUCAACAACAACAACUUUUUACUGAGAAUUCACUAAAAAAAUCAUAUUAUACCUGCUUCAUUUAAUGGUCAGUGGCUGAUAACUUCGAAAUAGGUGCGUCAAACGCGUUGAUGAUCGACGUGCGCGUUCUCGUGUUUUGAAAGAAGACGUGCUCGCGCUACAGUGAACGACUCUACCUCACACACGGGAGCGUCACUAACGACAAACUUCUCGAUGUUCGAGACGUGAGCUCCACCAAAAUCAACCAUAAAAAAUGAGAAGCUGAUAGUAUUUUCCCAAUGUUUCUAUUUGUUUGGUGAGGAUUAUUGAUCAGUUCAGAGUUUUCAACAUCUGCGGUUUUCCAGCGCCUUCGUUUCAUUUGAGAUGUCAAUGUAUCCCUGAACGUCACAGUUUACAAGUCACUGACUCAUUUUCAAGCAAAUUCAGACCCGGUCGCACCAACAUUAUUUAACUGGAGCGAAUGAGACGACUGAAUGACAGGAGGCGGGUUCGUGUCAAUUCGGAGAGGAGAGCAAGAAAGCGCAGCUACUAUCCAUGUAUCGUACUGCAGAAAGGAGUAUUAGAGUCGUUUCAGAUAUUUUAGUAUUGAUAUAUAACAAAAUACCAAUAUUUUUGACAACACUAUUCCAAACCUGUAAGACUUUCGUUCAUCUUCAGAUCAAAAAUGAAGAUCUUUUUAAUGAAACUUGAGAGAUUUCUGUCCCUCCAUAGACAGGUACACUGUAAACCUGAAUAAGUUGGGCUAACUCAAAAAAAACUGAGGUGAACAGUUACAUCAAAUUUUUUGAGUUAUGAUGUUCCCAAUUUUAAGUAAGCAGAACUAUCAAGUUUUGAGUUUGUAGUACUCAUGCAUGUUAAUUUCUCCUAACUUGAAGUACCGAUUUUUAGCUAACUUGUACAUUUUUAUAGCAAUUAACAUAAAAGAUUGUUAAUUAACUUUUAUUUUGAGUACUUGCAAAUCAAAUGAGUUGUUUACUUCACUGUAAACCCUAAUAAGAAAAUUCUGAAAAUGCCAACUUGCUAUUUUGCUAACAUGUUAACAAUAGCAUGGUAUAGCACUUACUAUAGCACUUACUGAAUACAGCAACUUAAAACAUGUAACUUACCUGCUCUCAAACCAAGCUCAUGCGCUGCUUGUCACCAUGAUGGCAAUUCUCCAAAAACCCACAUUAACA